Molecule: ribosomal RNA, 274 nt
Filed under: uncultured bacterium
Lineage: Bacteria
Description: partial 16S ribosomal RNA
Rfam family: Bacterial small subunit ribosomal RNA
Source: RNAcentral
UACGGAUGGUGCAAGCGUUAUCCGGAAUUACUGGGUUUAAAGGGUGCGUAGGCGGUGAUAUAAGUCAGUGGUGAAAGGCCGUAGCUUAACUAUGGGAUUGCCAUUGAUACUGUAUGACUUGAAUCAGGUUGAGGUUGGUGGAAUGUGGCAUGUAGCGGUGAAAUGCUUAGAUAUGCCAUAGAACACCGAUUGCGAAGGCAGCUGACUGGACCUUUGAUUGACGCUGAGGCACGAAAGCGUGGGGAGCGAACAGGAUUAGAUACCCCUGUAGUCC